This 425-nucleotide ribosomal RNA is filed under the name uncultured bacterium. RNAcentral's name for it is "partial 16S ribosomal RNA". It matches the Rfam family "Bacterial small subunit ribosomal RNA", at positions 354 to 796 of the family's 1533-position model. The record is from RNAcentral.
GUGGGGAAUCUUAGACAAUGGGCGCAAGCCUGAUCUAGCCAUGCCGCGUGAGCGAUGAAGGCCUUAGGGUUGUAAAGCUCUUUCGUGGGGGAAGAUAAUGACUGUACCCCAAGAAGAAGCCCCGGCUAACUCCGUGCCAGCAGCCGCGGUAAUACGGAGGGGGCUAGCGUUGUUCGGAAUUACUGGGCGUAAAGCGCACGUAGGCGGACUGGAAAGUCAGGUGUGAAAUCCCGGGGCGCAACCCCGGAACUGCCUUUGAAGCUCCCAGUCUUGAGUUCGAGGGAGGUGAGUGGAAUUCCGAGUGUAGAGGUGAAAUUCGUAGAUAUUCGGAGGAACACCAGUGGCGGAGGCGGAUCACUGGCUCGAUACUGACGCAGAGGUGCGCAAGCGUGGGGAGCAAACAGGAUUAGAUACCCGAGUAGUCA